UUUGACCUCAAAUCAGGCAAGACUACCCGCUGAACUUAA
This 39-nucleotide ribosomal RNA is filed under the name Coprinopsis cinerea. RNAcentral's name for it is "partial 28S ribosomal RNA". The record is from RNAcentral. Lineage: Eukaryota; Fungi; Basidiomycota; Agaricomycetes; Agaricales; Psathyrellaceae.